Molecule: ribosomal RNA, 404 nt
Filed under: uncultured Roseomonas sp.
Lineage: Bacteria; Pseudomonadati; Pseudomonadota; Alphaproteobacteria; Acetobacterales; Roseomonadaceae
Description: bacterial SSU rRNA
Rfam family: Bacterial small subunit ribosomal RNA
Source: RNAcentral
UGGGGAAUAUUGGACAAUGGGCGCAAGCCUGAUCCAGCAAUGCCGCGUGGGUGAAGAAGGUCUUCGGAUUGUAAAGCCCUUUCGACGGGGACGAUGAUGACGGUACCCGUAGAAGAAGCCCCGGCUAACUUCGUGCCAGCAGCCGCGGUAAUACGAAGGGGGCUAGCGUUGCUCGGAAUUACUGGGCGUAAAGGGCGCGUAGGCGGCCCAUCAAGUCAGGCGUGAAAUUCCCGGGCUCAACCUGGGGACUGCGCUUGAGACUGGCGGGCUAGAGGCCGAGAGAGGGUGGUGGAAUUCCCAGUGUAGAGGUGAAAUUCGUAGAUAUUGGGAAGAACACCGGUGGCGAAGGCGGCCACCUGGCUCGGUACUGACGCUGAGGCGCGACAGCGUGGGGAGCAAACAGG